RNAcentral lists this ribosomal RNA (402 nucleotides) under uncultured Bryobacter sp. Its description in RNAcentral is "bacterial SSU rRNA". It matches the Rfam family "Bacterial small subunit ribosomal RNA", at positions 355 to 774 of the family's 1533-position model. Lineage: Bacteria; Pseudomonadati; Acidobacteriota; Terriglobia; Bryobacterales; Bryobacteraceae. RNAcentral also lists the same sequence under 1 other name. The record is from RNAcentral.
UGGGGAAUCUUGCACAAUGGAGGAAACUCUGAUGCAGCGACGCCGCGUGAGUGAUGAAGCCCUUCGGGGUGUAAAGCUCUUUCGACCCGGAAGAUUAUGACGGUACGGGGAGAAGAAGCUGCGGCUAACUACGUGCCAGCAGCCGCGGUAAUACGUAGGCAGCGAGCGUUGUUCGGAGUUACUGGGCGUAAAGCGUGCGUAGGCGGUGUCUUAAGUUUGUUGUGAAAUCUCCCGGCUUAACCGGGAGGGUGCGGCGAAUACUGAGAUGCUGGAGUGCCGGAGAGGUAAGCGGAAUUCCUGGUGUAGCGGUGAAAUGCGUAGAUAUCAGGAGGAACACCUGCGGUGUAGACGGCUUACUGGACGGUAACUGACGCUGAGGCACGAAAGCGUGGGUAGCAAACA